AUUGAACGCUGGCGGCAGGCCUAACACAUGCAAGUCGAACGGAGCGGCGGACGGGUGAGUGAUACCUAGGACUCGGCAUGUUCGUGGGGGAUAACGUCCGGUAACGGGCGCUGAUACUGCAUCCUAUCAUAUGAGCCUAGGUCGGCUUAGCUAGGUGGUGGGGUAAAGGCCUACCAAGGCGACGAUCCGUAACUGGUCUGAGAGGAUGAUCAGUCACACUGGAACUGAGACACGGUCCAGACUCCUACGGGAGGCAGCAGUGGGGAAUAUUGGACAAUGGGCGAAAGCCUGAUCCAGCCAUGCCGCGUGUGUGAAGAAGGUCUUCGGAUUGUAAAGCACUUUAAGUUGGGAGGCGUUACCAACAGAAUAAGCACCGGCUAACUUCGUGCCAGCAGCCGCGGUAAUAC
Molecule: ribosomal RNA, 407 nt
Filed under: uncultured bacterium
Lineage: Bacteria
Description: partial 16S ribosomal RNA
Rfam family: Bacterial small subunit ribosomal RNA
Source: RNAcentral